CAAAACCACAAAAUUCGCAGAAAGAAUGUAUUGAUUUCUUAUUAAAGGAUAAAAUAAAUUCAAAUAAUCGGAUUUUACAAGAGUUCUCAAAAUAUACCAUAUAUUGCUAAUACUCUAGAAAUGAAGCCUAAGGGUCCAUUCACAGUAGAGAUCGACACGACAAACACAACAUGACAUUAAACGACAAAGCAGCUGAUGUGUCGUAAGCCACAUAGCAUUCAUAGUGGUUGCU
Molecule: long non-coding RNA, 232 nt
Organism: Gordionus sp. m RMFG-2023
Lineage: Eukaryota; Metazoa; Nematomorpha; Gordioida; Chordodea; Parachordodidae
Exons: 3
Source: RefSeq, a predicted model, not a curated record